GGGCGGGCAGGGGCGGCACCACAGCCCCUUUGAGCACUUCCACCGCCUCGGGCAGCCUGAAGGCCGAGUUGGGCGCGGCUGGUGCGCCUGGAGCCGGUGGCGCAGCAGCAGCUGUUUCCACUUUUACAGCAGAAGCUGGCGCAAGCCCUUGUGCUGUUACUGCAGGCAUCGCGCCCGAUGAAGGAAGCACGAGCUGGCGAAGUAGCUCCAGCGACGGCACCCGAGGAAUGCC
RNAcentral lists this long non-coding RNA (232 nucleotides) under Chlamydomonas reinhardtii. Its description in RNAcentral is "long non-coding RNA (CREI_LNC000875)". The record is from RNAcentral. Lineage: Eukaryota; Viridiplantae; Chlorophyta; Chlorophyceae; Chlamydomonadales; Chlamydomonadaceae.